RNAcentral lists this ribosomal RNA (253 nucleotides) under uncultured bacterium. RNAcentral describes it as "partial 16S ribosomal RNA". It matches the Rfam family "Bacterial small subunit ribosomal RNA", at positions 524 to 776 of the family's 1533-position model. The record is from RNAcentral.
GACGAGGGAUCCUAGCGUUGUUCGGAAUCAUUGGGCGUAAAGCGGGUGUAGGUGGCUUUGUAAGUCAGAUGUGAAAGCCCAGGGCUCAACCCUGGAAGUGCAUUUGAUACUGCGAAGCUUGAGUGUGGGAGAGGAUAGUAGAAUUGUUGGUGUAGUGGUGAAAUACGUAGAUAUCAACAGGAAUACCGGUGGCGAAGGCGGCUAUCUGGCCCAACACUGACACUCAGACCCGAAAGCGUGGGGAUCAAACAGG